RNAcentral lists this non-coding RNA (218 nucleotides) under Bacillus sp. (in: firmicutes). Its description in RNAcentral is "Bacillus sp. T-box sequence". It matches the Rfam family "T-box leader". From Rfam's summary of the family: Uncharged tRNA acts as the effector for transcription antitermination of genes in the T-box leader family. Lineage: Bacteria; Bacillati; Bacillota; Bacilli; Caryophanales; Bacillaceae. The record is from RNAcentral.
AUUGAAACGUUGAUGAGGAUUAGUAAAUUAAUUCGGUCUUAUAAAGAGAGGAAACCAAUGGUGGAAGGUUUCUUAAGACAGUCAGUUGAACCUGCCUCGGAGUUCUGUAUCGGAUCCUUAUUGAAGAUACAUGCGGAUAAAAGUCCGUUAUCAUGUCGAGAGUAUAAAGCGUAUGCUUUAUGAAUUUAGGGUGGUACCGCCAGGCCUUGGUCCCUUUU